AGCGAACGCUGGCGGCAGGCCUAACACAUGCAAGUCGAACGAACCUUUCGGGGUUAGUGGCGGACGGGUGAGUAACACGUGGGAACGUGCCUUUAGGUUCGGAAUAACUCAGGGAAACUUGUGCUAAUACCGAAUGUGCCCUCCGGGGGAAAGAUUUAUCGCCUUUAGAGCGGCCCGCGUCUGAUUAGCUAGUUGGUUGAGGUAAUGGCUCACCAAGGCGACGAUCAGUAGCUGGUCUGAGAGGAUGAUCAGCCACACUGGGACUGAGACACGGCCCAGACUCCUACGGGAGGCAGCAGUGGGGAAUUUUCCGCAAUGGGCGAAAGCCUGACGGAGCAAUGCCGCGUGGAGGUGGAAGGCCUACGGGUCGUCAACUUCUUUUCUCGGAGAAGAAACAAUGACGGUAUCUGAGGAAUAAGCAUCGGCUAACUCUGUG
This 436-nucleotide ribosomal RNA is filed under the name uncultured bacterium. RNAcentral's name for it is "partial 16S ribosomal RNA". It matches the Rfam family "Bacterial small subunit ribosomal RNA", at positions 29 to 507 of the family's 1533-position model. The record is from RNAcentral.